AGUGAACGCCGGCGGUAGGCCUAACACAUGCAAGUCGAACGGCAGCACAGUAAGAGCUUGCUCUUACGGGUGGCGAGUGGCGGACGGGUGAGGAAUACAUCGGAAUCUACUUUUUCGUGGGGGAUAACGUAGGGAAACUUACGCUAAUACCGCAUACGACCUACGGGUGAAAACAGGGGAUCUUCGGACCUUGCGCGAUUGAAUGAGCCGAUGUCGGAUUAGCUAGUUGGCGGGGUAAAGGCCCACCAAGGCGACGAUCCGUAGCUGGUCUGAGAGGAUGAUCAGCCACACUGGAACUGAGACACGGUCCAGACUCCUACGGGAGGCAGCAGUGGGGAAUAUUGGACAAUGGGCGCAAGCCUGAUCCAGCCAUACCGCGUGGGUAAAGAAGGCCUUCGGGUUGUAAAGCCCUUUUGUUGGGAAAGAAAAGCAGCAGGUUAAUACCCCGCUGUUCUGACGGUACCCAAAGAAUAAGCACCGGCUAACUUCGUG
Molecule: ribosomal RNA, 492 nt
Filed under: uncultured bacterium
Lineage: Bacteria
Description: partial 16S ribosomal RNA
Rfam family: Bacterial small subunit ribosomal RNA
Source: RNAcentral